UCUUGAAGAUAAAAGGUGAGCCAGUACAGGAUGGACCCGCGUCUGAUUAGCGAGUUGGUAAGGUAACGGCUUACCAAGGCGACGAUCAGUAGCCGACCGGAGAGGGUGAUCGGCCACAUUGGAACUGAGACACGGUCCAAACUCCUACGGGAGGCAGCAGGGGGGAAUAUUGCACAAUGGGCGAAAGCC
Molecule: ribosomal RNA, 189 nt
Filed under: Clostridioides difficile
Lineage: Bacteria; Bacillati; Bacillota; Clostridia; Peptostreptococcales; Peptostreptococcaceae
Description: partial 16S ribosomal RNA
Rfam family: Bacterial small subunit ribosomal RNA
Source: RNAcentral